Mobula hypostoma (lesser devil ray) is the source of this 1885-nucleotide long non-coding RNA. RefSeq lists it as uncharacterized. The transcript is spliced from 5 exons. The record is from RefSeq and is a predicted model, not a curated record. Lineage: Eukaryota; Metazoa; Chordata; Chondrichthyes; Myliobatiformes; Myliobatidae.
CCGGCGGCGAUGUGCAGACCUCCGGCCACGGGUGGUGCCGCGGCGAAUAUCCUGCUGACCGCGGCCCGGUGUCCAUCACAAUUGUCGCCGGCGGUUCUGCUAUCGGGGAGGUGGUCUAAAGCCGUGUGAAGAGCCAUGGAGAUUGCGUCUGCCGUUGACCUAUUGUGACGACAGGCAAAUUGCAGUGGGUCCAGGUCCUUGCUGAGGCGGGAGUUCAUUUCAGUCAUAACCAACCUCCCAAAGCAUUUCCUCACUGUCGAUAGCGGCGCAGGCUGAGGUGAGACUGGAUGAACGUUUAUAAGAUUACGAGAGGAAUAGAUAGAGUGGACAGACGAUAUAUUUCUCCUGGGCGUUGAACUGUCUAACACAUUUAAGUUAGACCUGCGGUGAGAGAUUUAUUGGUAGAAAAACCCCAACUGGAAGCAAACCACGACUGAAGACGAGGGAACAGCAACAAGUGAACCAGCCCGAGGAUUGAGAGCAUCAACUGGAGAGGACCCAUCUGACUCGGAGAAUCCAGUGACUCUGUCAGGAGAAAGUUUGGGUACGGAUUUGAAACAAGGGACACAGGAAUCAUCCACCCACACGAGAUUGUUGAAGGUUGGCCGGAUAGGUGGGUUGUUACCCCCGAGAUCAAUCCGCUAGACGAGUUACGGAGCAGCAGUGAAACGUAAAGACAUUGAACCUCGGAUAUCGGUAUUAUUUACGUACUGAUUUUCAGAGUGACCUGGUGAUUAAGGAGAUUAUUCACUCAGUUUUUUUUUUCGUCAUGACAUUGGGCCGUGUUUAUAUUUCGAGGCACAGGCACAUUUCUAUUUUCGAAUGUCUAAAUAAAAUUCGGUGUUAUUUACUUGUAAGUCUUAUUACACGCUUUUAUUUAGUCAGUCCGCACGAAGAGAAAUCUGAUCAAGUUCAAGUUCAGUGGGUUCGUGGAAAAAGAACCUGAAUGAGGAAAAUAGGUGCAGCUUGUAUUCAACAGGUUCAGAUCAUGGAAACCACCGGGGAACAUCAGAUUGGCAAACCAUCAUCACCAACAGCUUUACACAGCCGAGUUGUUUUCCUCUGAUGCCUCCUACUAGGAAUAAAAUAGUAAAUAUAAUUGUCAAAAUACCCCGUAUGCAUGUAAACAUGCAUUAAGUAUACUUAACUUUUGAAUAAAAAUGUAUUUCAAAUAAAUGUGCAUGUCUUUAUUGUUUCAGGUAGACGUUGUAGAAUAAUAUUAAAAAUUAUUACACAUCACUAGUCAGAUUAAUUACCGUCAAAAUGAGAUGUAGUUAAUCAGUUACAGUUCGGCACUUGCAGAAUUACGGAAUAUGCUCAGUGAUAUGUUUGUGUACAAUAAAAAUGAGACAGUUUUUUAAAUGAUUUUUAAAUAAUUUGUAAAUAAUGCUCGAAUGAGACAAAACAUGACAAGCAGCAGAAUAAAGCGGUCAGGUCUCUGCAGACGGGCAGUAUUGUGAAACACAACGGGAUGAAUAUGCACAUACUCUGGAAGCUGAAAGUUGAAAACAGUAGGAGGGGGCUUUAUCCUUCUUGUCCAGCUCUCUCUCAAUUCCCAGCUUCCGGACGCAAAUUUUCAUUUUUAAGACUAAACGGAAUUUAGUACAUUUACAUUGAAGUCCUCUCACAUUUAUUUUUGUGACCUAUUCGUCUAAAUUUAAAUCUGGACUCGUGUACAGAUCAGUGGAAACAUGAUCUGAAGUUGCAAAACAUGUGUCACUUGUAUUCAGUGACUGGAGGUCAUAGUCCCGAUCUGGGAAUCGAAAAAUAUUUUCACUGAAUUACUCACUGUGCAACGGUGUGUAAAGCGUUAUACUGUAGAACUGAACUUUACUGCGCUUUCGAGUUAUAAGAAAAUUUUAAAUAAGCUUUAAUAUAUUCUGUA